CCUACGGGAGGCAGCAGUGGGGAAUAUUGCACAAUGGGGGGAACCCUGAUGCAGCGACGCCGCGUGAGUGAAGAAGGUUUUCGGGAUGUAAAGCUCUAUUAACAGGGAAGAAAAAGAAGGUACGUGACUAAGAAGUCCUGGCUAACUACGUGUCAGCAGCCGCGGAAAUACGUAGGGGGCACGCGUUAUACGGAUUUACUGGGUGUAAAGGGAGCGUAGACGGGUAUGCAAGUCUGCUGUGAAAGCCUAAGGCUCAACCGUGGGAAUGCAUUGGAAAAUGGAUAACUUGAGUGCAGAAGAGGUUGGCGGAAUUCCAGGUGUAGCGGUGAAAUGCGUAGAUAUUAGGAGGAACACCAGUGGCGAAGGCGGCUGACUGGGCUGUAACUGACGUUGAGGCUCGAAAGCGUGGGGAGCAAACAGGAUUAGAUACCCUGGUAGUC
RNAcentral lists this ribosomal RNA (440 nucleotides) under uncultured bacterium. RNAcentral describes it as "partial 16S ribosomal RNA". It matches the Rfam family "Bacterial small subunit ribosomal RNA", at positions 338 to 795 of the family's 1533-position model. The record is from RNAcentral.